CGGGGCUCAAGCACACCGCCGAAACCGUGGCAUUCAGGUUUUCCUGGAUGGGUAGGGGAGCGUCGUGCACGAGGUGAAGCCGGGGCGGAAGCGCCGGUGGAUUGUGCACGAGUGAGAAUGCAGGCAUGAGUAGCGAAAGACGGGUGAGAAACCCGUCCGCCGGAUGACCAAGGGUUCCAGGGUCAAGCUAAUCUGCCCUGGGUAAGUCGGGACCUAAGGCGAGGCCGACAGGCGUAGUCGAUGGACAACGGGUUGAUAUUCCCGUACCGGCGAAGA
RNAcentral lists this ribosomal RNA (276 nucleotides) under Bigelowiella natans. Its description in RNAcentral is "partial Bacterial large subunit ribosomal RNA". It matches the Rfam family "Bacterial large subunit ribosomal RNA", at positions 1176 to 1453 of the family's 2925-position model. The record is from RNAcentral. Lineage: Eukaryota; Cercozoa; Chlorarachniophyceae.